UACGAAGGGGGCUAGCGUUGUUCGGAAUUACUGGGCGUAAAGCGUGCGCAGGCGGCCAUCCAAGUCAGUGGUGAAAGCCCGGAGCUCAACUCCGGAAUUGCCAUUGAAACUGUUUGGCUCGAGUACGAGAGAGGUGAGUGGAAUUCCCAGUGUAGAGGUGAAAUUCGUAGAUAUUGGGAAGAACACCGGUGGCGAAGGCGGCUCACUGGCUCGUAACUGACGCUCAUGCACGACAGCGUGGGGAU
This 245-nucleotide ribosomal RNA is filed under the name uncultured bacterium. RNAcentral describes it as "partial 16S ribosomal RNA". It matches the Rfam family "Bacterial small subunit ribosomal RNA", at positions 524 to 768 of the family's 1533-position model. The record is from RNAcentral.